AGGAUUUUAGUUAAUAAUAACAUUUGAUUUGCAUUCAAAAAGUAUUGAAUUUAUCAAUUUAUCUUAAGUUA
Molecule: transfer RNA, 71 nt
Filed under: Arria pallida
Lineage: Eukaryota; Metazoa; Arthropoda; Insecta; Mantodea; Haaniidae
Description: tRNA-Ala
Source: RNAcentral